Molecule: ribosomal RNA, 647 nt
Filed under: Salmonella enterica
Lineage: Bacteria; Pseudomonadati; Pseudomonadota; Gammaproteobacteria; Enterobacterales; Enterobacteriaceae
Also listed under: 5 other names
Description: partial 23S ribosomal RNA
Rfam family: Bacterial large subunit ribosomal RNA
Source: RNAcentral
GGUUAAGCGACUAAGCGUACACGGUGGAUGCCCUGGCAGUCAGAGGCGAUGAAGGGCGUGCUAAUCUGCGAUAAGCGCCGGUAAGGUGAUAUGAACCGUUAUAACCGGCGAUACCCGAAUGGGGAAACCCAGUGUGAUUCGUCACACUAUCAUUAACUGAAUCCAUAGGUUAAUGAGGCGAACCGGGGGAACUGAAACAUCUAAGUACCCCGAGGAAAAGAAAUCAACCGAGAUUCCCCCAGUAGCGGCGAGCGAACGGGGAGGAGCCCAGAGCCUGAAUCAGCAUGUGUGUUAGUGGAAGCGUCUGGAAAGGCGCGCGAUACAGGGUGACAGCCCCGUACACAAAAGCGCAUGUGCUGUGAGCUCGAUGAGUAGGGCGGGACACGUGGUAUCCUGUCUGAAUAUGGGGGGACCAUCCUCCAAGGCUAAAUACUCCUGACUGACCGAUAGUGAACCAGUACCGUGAGGGAAAGGCGAAAAGAACCCCGGCGAGGGGAGUGAAAAAGAACCUGAAACCGUGUACGUACAAGCAGUGGGAGCACAGGUUUACCUGUGUGACUGCGUACCUUUUGUAUAAUGGGUCAGCGACUUAUAUUCUGUAGCAAGGUUAACCGAAUAGGGGAGCCGGAGGGAAACCGAGUCUUAAU